UACGUCGACCGCAGCCGCCCUUUCGUGCGCUGUUCCCUCCGCCCAAACCGGGUCGCUUUGGGAGUGUGGCGUGCAGGAGGUGGAGGGAAGCGGAGGUCGCGGGGAGGAGGGAGAGGUCGCGGCGGUGUCAGCGGACCCGCUGCGAGGGUGGAUGGUGGGUACCAACUCCAGCCGCUUCGCCGGGUAGCGCGCCGCGGACCCCUGCAGCGGAGGGAGGCGGCGGUCGUCGCCGCUGGCCGAUUGUACGCCAGCAGCGGCGGUUUUGGCCUACCGCACGACAGGCCGCUCCCCGGGCUGGACGGCGCGCCGUAGCGGAGGAGGUGUAGGCGGGCGCCUAGCUCGAGGUGUUGGAGGUAGGGCUGGACGGAAAAGGAGGAGAGCGAACAGUCUUUCCUCACGUCCGGCGACAACGGGGUGUGCUCCAGUAGGAGGAGAAACCAAAACGACUAAGGCUACCGCAACCGAGCUGGAUGUCCAGUCCUGAAGUACGGGAAAAGAGAACUCGACUUUGCGUACGUUCGUACCGACAACUGGCUCGGGAGAUUAAGUUGAUAAGUCUACACGAAAUCCGGAAAUCGUUUUGGAAAAAAGAAUAAUAGGUAAACCGACUAAGUGUAUUAGAGCGUCCUUUUACAGCUACAAUUUCGUAAACCAGUACUACCUAGUAAAAUGACCAAGAGUCAAGUUGAGUUCUACCGAGUCUAUCCUGGUUCAAACUUAUAAGUACACAACCUAUCCCCAACCCCAACCAGAGGACGUGUUCUCCACUUUAUACACUUCCACGUUUAACCUCGUCUUCUAAGCAGAUACUACGUCGUCGAGUUUCGACUUCUAAAGAGAUUAACAAGACUACCAUCACGCAUACUAACCCAACAACACAACCUACUUUUGUCCUUCCUACAGUAUAGACUCGUCUAUCGACUAGACUAACCCCUACGACCCCUAAAGUGGGAGAACGGUACGCGACUCGGCGCCACCCUCUUUCACCCACCGUCGCUCGGUCACCUAACCAGUAACCUAUUGACGAACAACAUAAAGUGUUACUCCUGUAAACAAACCCCCCACAUAGGAUCUCAAUUCCUACGAACCUACCUUCACCACCGGAGUGUUUCCGUGGGAUUACACGCAUCCGUUCUAGCUUUACGUGUUUAUGGACGAGUCGGUGAGAGUAGUAGUUGCGAGUUGUUACCGGAGAAGAAGGCCACGGGCUUCGUCGGCGUAUGGGUAUACGGAGCACGACUAAGAGAACUAGCGGACGCUCUUCAGUCGGUAGUACGGCAUGCUACAACGGAGAAGUCAUGUAGACACAAUCGAGAAAGACAAUGAUAGGUAAGACAUCGUGAUCCCGUCGGGCCACGUACAUCGAGGGCGAACGCGUCCCAGCCCCUUCCCAGGCUGGUGAAACCCAGAUAUCAUGCGUCGGAAAAGGAUGUAAAAACAUUCUCCGACAAAGGUCCUGAACUUGGGCACUGGAGUACCAGUGUUCCGUCGUCGAAAUGGUGACGCGGUUCCGAGGGGAAGAGAUGCCAUCCACUACUGGUUAGUUCUCCACAUUUAAGAUAACGUUCAAGGAAUAUACACGUACAAGUAGUUAGACUUUUUUUCCUCCACUUUUCCAGCGAGCAGUUAGACCGUGACGCGUUUGAAGGAGAGUUCUCCGCGGUGGCCCACCACGGGGUUGGGGAUCAGACAUCGUUUCUAUUGUAGUAGAUGUACGAAAAGGUUACGGUUUUCUUGUCGAGCGGACUCUCGAUGUCGGAGCCUGCUUUUGAAACGGUACAAUCCCAGAGUCCUGAGACCGCUAAGGCCCCGUUGCGGCGGCGGCGGCGGCCCGAAGCUGGCCGGCCGACGACCGUGGCAACGGUGUACACGCGGAGCCGCUGUACCACCGGAACAACGCCGAUGCAGGCGAGGGCGUAGCGACCGGGGAGCCCCACCAUC
RNAcentral lists this ribosomal RNA (1941 nucleotides) under Triticum aestivum (bread wheat). RNAcentral describes it as "partial small subunit ribosomal RNA". The record is from RNAcentral. Lineage: Eukaryota; Viridiplantae; Streptophyta; Magnoliopsida; Poales; Poaceae.